Molecule: long non-coding RNA, 671 nt
Filed under: Anas platyrhynchos platyrhynchos (common mallard)
Lineage: Eukaryota; Metazoa; Chordata; Aves; Anseriformes; Anatidae
Description: lncRNA (ENSAPLG00000025752.1)
Source: RNAcentral
AUGGAAGUUUACAAACUGACCAUUCCUCCAUGGACUUCUCUCAGUGCUCCUGUGCAAAACAUAUCUGAGCACUUAUCUGAGAUGCUGCCACUCCUGUCUCUUCUCCCAAUAACCAUUCCCAUCUCUAUACAGAGAAGAAGUCAAUGGCAAGACUCCACCUGGCACAGAAGGGCCACAAUUUUCUGGGCUCUAUCCUCUGUGAAACAGGAGCAAAUUUUUCACAUGACUGAUUAAGAAUGAUUGACUGGCAAUUCCUAACUUAAGGUAGUAUUACCCAUUUGUGUUACAACGAGAAGAUAAGGCUGUACCAGAUACUACUCAAGUCCAAGUGCUUGACCUGGUUCCUAUCCCACACACAGGAUGAGAAUUAUUAUAGCGAUGAUAUUCAGAGGUCCCUGACUAACUAAUAUAUAUAUAUCAGGUUGUUAUAGCUCUGUUACUUAACUCUGCUGUGUUAAAAGGAAGUUUCUAGAAGGGAUACCAUUUUAAUAUGAAAUAGACAAGAUAUUUCUAUUUAUAGGCUUUGUGAUAUCUGUGUAAAACUAUACAUCAACAGAAGUGGAGAUUGGCACAAAAGCUAGUAAGCUCCCUUUAUUAUGCCAAGUAAUUAUGGCAAUAUCAAACACGUGUAAAGCAUGAAUUUGUCCAAUUUUCUGUACUUCCUAUUUAUA